CUAUGUAUAGUAGUAUUAUAUACCAAAGAUGGUGAAAGUCCAGACUACUAUCUCUUUAGAUAAAGAGAAAUAUAUUUACAUACAUGUAUGAGUAAACAAAGUAAUAUGAAGACGGCAGCUUUGUAUGAAAUAUGGGGAUACCAUUCUCCAAGGCUAAGUAUAGUAUAUCUAGCGAUAGUGAAGAGUAACGUGAGUGAAAGGUGAAAAGUAAGUGUAUGACUGGUGAAAUAGAUCUUGAAUUACAAGCCUUACAAGCAGUUAGAGUUCUAUAGAAUAGAAUGAUAACGUACCUUUUGCAUAAUGGGUCAGCAAGUUAAUUAUAAAUGCAAGAUGAUAAAUCUUAGCGAAAGCGAUUAAAAAUGAGAAAAGUAUUUAUAAUUAGAUCCGAAACCAGAUGAUCUUUUCAUGGCCAGGUUAUAAUGGACCGAACAGCAAAAUGUUGCAGUAUUUUCUGAUGAGCUGUGAAAAGGGGUGAAAUGCUAAUCUAAUCUGGUGAUAGCUGAUAUUCUGCGAAAUCUAUUUAAGUAGAAAGUUUCUGUAAAAUAUUCUUUGUAUAGCACUUAUUUCCAUUUCUUGAUAAAUUGGAUUCCAAUUUAUUAUUUAUAGAAUAAAUUAGGGGAUCAAAAGAUCCUACUAUUGGAAGUUAACCUCAGAAGAAGAAUAUCUUGAUCAGAAACUGACAGUCUAUUUGUGAUAAGGUAAAUAGACAAAAGGGAAACAGCCCAGAUCAUAAAUUAAGGUCCCUAAUAAAUAUUUAGUGAACAUAAGAAGGUCUUUUAUCUAAUACAACUACAAAGUAAGCUUGGAAGUAGCUACCUUUUAAUGAAAGUGUAACAACUCAAUAGUCUAAUGGAUAAAAGGCAUCGAAGAUUAACGGGUCUGAAAUAUUUAACCUACAUUAUGAUAUAUAUACAUUUUUAUUUCUAAUAUAAAAAUGUAUAUGUAGGUAGCAGAACACUUAGUAUGAGAGUGAAGAAGUGUAUGAAUACAUUUUGGACUAUACUAAAGAGAGAAUGCUGGCAUGAGUAACGAUUAAGAAGUUAAAAUACUUCUCGCCGAACACGAAAGGGUUUUAUGGAAAAGGUAAUCUGCCAUAAUUUAUACGGUUUCUAAGGAAAAUAAACGAAUUGUUAUUUUCUGAUGAAGAAUAGAAAUCAUAGAGAAAGAAUCUUUCUUCUAGAAAAAGAUUUCUACUAUUGAUAGUAACCGUACCUGAAACCGACACAGGUUCGUGGGUAGAGUAUACUAAGGCGUAGAGAUAAGGCUAGUGAAGGAACUCGGCAAAAUGCUUCUGUAAGUUCGACGAUAAAGAAGAAGUUAUAAUUUAGAAUCAUUUUAUGAUUCUUUUAUAACUUGUCACAAAAGUGAGGGCUUCGACUGUUUACUAAAAACAUAGCAACUUGCUAAGACGAAAAGUACUUGUAUAAGUUGUGAACUCCUGUCCAAUGCCAUUUGUUUAAGGAAGGGAAUCUUCUUCCGGGAAGUGUUCCUGACUGAUGCGGUGGUGAAUGACGGUCUUAACUAUAAGGAUCUGAAAGUAGCGAAAUUCCUUGGCCAUUAAAUGUGGUCCUGCAUGAAUGAGGUAACGCGGCCCUGCUGUCUCCACUAGCUUCUCAGUGAAAUUGAAUUAGCCGUGCAGAUGCGGUUUGCCUUCCGGAGGACGCGAAGACCCUAUGCAGCUUUACUGUAUUCUGAUAUUGUUAUUCGUGAUAUAUAGUGUAG
Molecule: ribosomal RNA, 1722 nt
Filed under: human metagenome
Description: bacterial LSU rRNA
Rfam family: Bacterial large subunit ribosomal RNA
Source: RNAcentral